AGGACGAACGCUGGCGGCGUGCUUAACACAUGCAAGUCGAGCGGUAAGGCCUUUCGGGGUACACGAGCGGCGGACGGGUGAGUAAUGCCUAGGAAUCUGCCUAGUGGUGGGGGAUAACGUUCGGAAACGGACGCUAAUACCGCAUACGUCCUACGGGAGAAAGCGGGGGACCUUCGGGCCUCGCGCCAUUAGAUGAGCCUAGGUCGGAUUAGCUAGUUGGUGAGGUAAUGGCUCACCAAGGCGACGAUCCGUAACUGGUCUGAGAGGAUGAUCAGUCACACUGGAACUGAGACACGGUCCAGACUCCUACGGAGGCAGCAGUGGGGAAUAUUGGACAAUGGG
This 342-nucleotide ribosomal RNA is filed under the name uncultured soil bacterium. RNAcentral describes it as "bacterial SSU rRNA". It matches the Rfam family "Bacterial small subunit ribosomal RNA", at positions 26 to 375 of the family's 1533-position model. The record is from RNAcentral.